AGACCCGAAACCCGGUGAUCUAGCCAUGGGCAGGUUGAAGGUUGGGUAACACUAACUGGAGGACCGAACCGACUAAUGUUGAAAAAUUAGCGGAUGACCUGUGGCUGGGGGUGAAAGGCCAAUCAAACCGGGAGAUAGCUGGUUCUCCCCGAAAGCUAUUUAGGUAGCGCCUCGUGAAUUCAUCUCCGGGGGUAGAGCACUGUUUCGGCCAGGGGGCCAUCCCGGCUUACCAAUCCGAUGCAAACUGCGAAUACCGGAGAAUGUUAUCACGGGAGACACACGGCGGGUGCUAACGUCCGUCGUGAAGAGGGAAACAACCCAGACCGCCAGCUAAGGUCCCAAAGUCAUGGUUAAGUGGGAAACGAUGUGGGAAGGCCCAGACAGCCAGGAUGUUGGCUUAGAAGCAGCCAUCAUUUAAAGAAAGCGUAAUAGCUCACUGGUCGAGUCGGCCUGCGCGGAAGAUGUAACGGGGCUAAACCAUGCACCGAAGCUGCGGCAGCGAACGUAUCACCCAAGACAACUUUGCACAGUUGACGAUUGACGGAGCGAAGCGACGUCAAAGCGUUUUACAACGUCGAGUUGGCUUAGGGAUACGUUCGUUGGGUAGGGGAGCGUUCUGUAAGCCGUUGAAGGUGUGUCGUGAGGCAUGCUGGAGGUAUCAGAAGUGCGAAUGCUGACAUAAGUAACGAUAAAGCGGGUGAAAAGCCCGCUCGCCGGAAGACCAAGGGUUCCUGUCCAACGUUAAUCGGGGCAGGGUGAGUCGACCCCUAAGGCGAGGCCGAAAGGCGUAGUCGAUGGGAAACGGGUUAAUAUUCCCGUACUUGGUGUUACUGCGAAGGGGGGACGGAGAAGGCUAUGUUGGCCGGGCGACGGUUGUCCCGGUUUAAGCGUGUAGGCUGACUUUCCAGGCAAAUCCGGAGAGUCAAGGCUGAGGCGUGACGACGAGGCACCACGGUGCUGAAGCAACAAAUGCCCUGCUUCCAGGAAAAGCCUCUAAGCCUCAGGUAACAUCAAAUCGUACCCCAAACCGACACAGGUGGUCAGGUAGAGAAUACCAAGGCGCUUGAGAGAACUCGGGUGAAGGAACUAGGCAAAAUGGUGCCGUAACUUCGGGAGAAGGCACGCUGACACGUAGGUGAAGCGGUUUACCCGUGGAGCUGAAGUCAGUCGAAGAUACCAGCUGGCUGCAACUGUUUAUUAAAAACACAGCACUGUGCAAACACGAAAGUGGACGUAUACGGUGUGACGCCUGCCCGGUGCCGGAAGGUUAAUUGAUGGGGUCAGCGCAAGCGAAGCUCCUGAUCGAAGCCCCGGUAAACGGCGGCCGUAACUAUAACGGUCCUAAGGUAGCGAAAUUCCUUGUCGGGUAAGUUCCGACCUGCACGAAUGGCGUAAUGAUGGCCAGGCUGUCUCCACCCGGGACUCAGUGAAAUUGAACUCGCUGUGAAGAUGCAGUGUACCCGCGGCAAGACGGAAAGACCCCGUGAACCUUUACUAUAGCUUGACACUGAACACUGGUCCUUGAUGUGCAGGAUAGGUGGGAGGCUUUGAAGUGUGGACGCCAGUCUGCAUGGAGCCAUCCUUGAAAUACCACCCUUUAAUGGCUGGUGUUCUAACGUGGACCCGUAAUCCGGGUUGCGGACAGUGUCUGGUGGGUAGUUUGACUGGGGCGGUCUCCUCCUAAAGAGUAACGGAGGAGCACGAAGGUUGGCUAAUCCUGGUCGGACAUCAGGAGGUUAGUGCAAUGGCAUAAGCCAGCUUGACUGCGAGCGUGACGGCGCGAGCAGGUGCGAAAGCAGGUCAUAGUGAUCCGGUGGUUCUGAAUGGAAGGGCCAUCGCUCAACGGAUAAAAGGUACUCCGGGGAUAACAGGCUGAUACCGCCCAAGAGUUCAUAUCGACGGCGGUGUUUGGCACCUCGAUGUCGGCUCAUCACAUCCUGGGGCUGAAGUAGGUCCCAAGGGUAUGGCUGUUCGCCAUUUAAAGUGGUACGCGAGCUGGGUUUAGAACGUCGUGAGACAGUUCGGUCCCUAUCUGCCGUGGGCGCUGGAAGAUUGAGGGGGGCUGCUCCUAGUACGAGAGGACCGGAGUGGACGCAUCACUGGUGUUCGGGUUGUCAUGCCAAUGGCACUGCCCGGUAGCUACAUGCGGAAGAGAUAAGUGCUGAAAGCAUCUAAGCACGAAACUUGCCCCGAGAUGAAUCUUCCCUGAGCCUUUAAGGCUCCUGAAGGAACGUUGAAGACGACGACGUUGAUAGGCCGGGUGUGUAAGCGCAGCGAUGCGUUGAGCUAACCGGUACUAAUGAACCGUGAGGCUUAACCUUACAACGCCGAAG
RNAcentral lists this ribosomal RNA (2333 nucleotides) under Salmonella enterica. RNAcentral's name for it is "partial 23S ribosomal RNA". It matches the Rfam family "Bacterial large subunit ribosomal RNA", at positions 711 to 2925 of the family's 2925-position model. Lineage: Bacteria; Pseudomonadati; Pseudomonadota; Gammaproteobacteria; Enterobacterales; Enterobacteriaceae. The record is from RNAcentral.